AAAGGUUCUUUAGGGCACCCAAAAUAAUUCUUCUAUGACAUGACCAGAAAACCCCCUUUUGGAACCUUUAUUUUUAAGAGUGU
Sinocyclocheilus anshuiensis is the source of this 83-nucleotide long non-coding RNA. RefSeq lists it as uncharacterized. The transcript is spliced from 3 exons. Lineage: Eukaryota; Metazoa; Chordata; Actinopteri; Cypriniformes; Cyprinidae. The record is from RefSeq and is a predicted model, not a curated record.